Molecule: ribosomal RNA, 440 nt
Filed under: uncultured bacterium
Lineage: Bacteria
Description: partial 16S ribosomal RNA
Rfam family: Bacterial small subunit ribosomal RNA
Source: RNAcentral
CCUACGGGUGGCAGCAGUGGGGGAUAUUGCACAAUGGGGGAAACCCUGAUGCAGCGACGCCGCGUGGGUGAAGACGCGCCUCGGCGCGUAAAGCCCUGUCAGCAGGGAAGAAAAUGACGGUACCUGAGGAAGAAGCCCCGGCUAACUACGUGCCAGAAGCCGCGGUAAUACGUAGGGGGCAAGCGUUAUCCGGAUUUACUGGGUGUAAAGGGGGCGCAGACGGCGUUGCAAGCCAGGAGUGAAAGUCUGGGGCCCAACCCCGGGACUGCUGUUGGAACUGGGUGGCUAGAGUGCAGGAGGGGUAGGCGGAAUUCGUGGUGUAGCGGUGAAAUGCGUAGAUAUCAGGAGGAACACCGGUGGCGAAGGCGGCCUGCUGGACUGCAACUGACGUUGAGGCUCGAAAGCGUGGGGAGCAAACAGGAUUAGAUACCCGGGUAGUC